Molecule: non-coding RNA, 45 nt
Filed under: Schistosoma curassoni
Lineage: Eukaryota; Metazoa; Platyhelminthes; Trematoda; Strigeidida; Schistosomatidae
Source: RNAcentral
AUCCAGCUGAGGAGUCCCAAACAAGACGAAACGCGCGUCCUGGAU